GGGUGCGAUCAUACCAGCACUAAUGCAUCAGAUCCUAUCAAAACUUCAUUCUUAAGUGUGCUUGAGGUGAGAGUAGUAUUAAGUAAGGUGACCACUUGGGAAGUACUUGUGUUGCACCCU
Molecule: ribosomal RNA, 120 nt
Filed under: Cucumis melo (muskmelon)
Lineage: Eukaryota; Viridiplantae; Streptophyta; Magnoliopsida; Cucurbitales; Cucurbitaceae
Also listed under: 1 other name
Source: RNAcentral